AUUAUAAGUUUUGUAUGUAUUCUUCCGCCCGCUUACCUUCUUCCAGUAACCAUUCUAUUUUUUCUUCACAGGCUUCUUCAAACUCUUUUGCACAUUUAGCAUACAUAAAUUUAAUCCACUGCUCAACGGUCAUAUCCAGUUCUUUUUCACUUAGUUUGUUUGGCUCUACAGGAUUCGGUACUGGAGAUUCUAAUAGACUCGAGAAAUCUAUGGGUUCCCAUGGUGGUGCAUUUGCUUCAACUAAGGGCAAAGCAUGUUUUGAUUUGACAGGAGUUUGAGGAGCCAAAAAUGAAGAUUGGCACAAUGGAUCAAAUGGACUGAUCGAAUGGUCAUAGUAGGAUUCAUCUAAAGGCUUCCGGACACUUGGCAAAUUUAUACUCGUUACUUCUUUCUCAGCGUAAGUUUUAGCGAAAGCUGAAGAGGUUUCACAAGAACCAGGUGAAGUUUCAACAUCCUUUUUACUUACAUUAUCGAUUUUAUCUACCUUCGUUUCCUUCUCAGGUGUAUUUUUCGACACUGAUCUAGUACCAUUCUGUACAGAAGUCCUAGAAUUUUUGAUUUCUUGAUCAGGAAAAGCAUCACUUAACGAGACUUUGUCUACCUCAGUCAAUUUUUCUUCAAUCUUUUCAAUAUUUUCUAAUUCAUGGUUGGCCUCCUUUUCUUGCAAUUUAUCAGAAGUUUCUGUAUUAACAGCUUCAACGGUUUGAUUGUUCUUGCUCUGUAGCUUAGGAGAAUUAAUGUCAUCUUCUUGAAAUGUCACUUUUUCGGAGUUUCCGACGUUUCUGUCAGGAAGAUCCUUUAAGUAACUUCCUGAUUCAAGUUCAUUGGGUUGUACGAUCGGCUGGGGAUCCAGGCUUGAAUGAACAUUCAUGACAGUAUGACCAGAAUUAGCUUCCUCAUGAUUAACAUUUUCACUUUUUUCAUCGGAAACAGGACUUGAUACGUCUCUCGUCUUGGUCACUCCUCUAUCUAUAGAAACUCUAACCGUUUGGGACUCAUCGCAAAUGGCCUUUCUUUUUUCCUCAGGAAGCACUUCGCUAAUUUCAGUUUUUGGUUUUUCUAUAAAGUCCACUAUUGAUGUAUCAAACUUUGUUUUUGAUGUUGAGGUACUUUUUCCCUUCUCUAAAACUCCGCUUACAAGAUUAUCCUUCCUUUUAAUUGCUAAGAGAGGAAUUAGAUCAAUUAAAGGUUUGUCAUCAUUUUCAGAUUCAGAAAGCAAUUGUAGUGACUGUUCAGACUCCAUACUCUUAUUCUCAAGAUCCUCAAAUUUACUAACGUGAAUGGCAGUUUGGCUGUCCUCUGUAACUUUUACUGGUUCAUGUGAAUCCUCAGUAGACGAAACUAAAAUGUUUUUAGAUUGUAAAACUUCUUGAAAUUUUCUCUUCUUUUCAGGAAUUGGUAUUUUCAAAUUGGUCUCGUCAUUUUCAUCAUUUGCUUCUUCCGAGUUUCUCUUUUUUGAAAUGUUGCUAAACGAAUCUAUUGUACUCCUUGGUGAAAAAUUGGUUUGUAAUAUUUUAUCUCUGAAGCUUGAAGAAGACACUCUACCUCCUGUUGCAGCAUCAGUCAUAUCGGGAGAUGAAGUUGAUGGCUUUGAAGAGAUUGGUUGUUUUGUGGACUCCUCUAUGAACGAACCUUGAAGAUUUAAAUGCUCAUCUUCUUUUUCAACCUUCUGCUGUUCCGGAGUUUCGAUAGCAACUUGUUUUUCUGUAUGAUUUUGCUCUUUACCAACAGAAGAAACAGAAGACGAAAUUUCCUUUGAUUUGGAAACCACAGAUAUUUCUUCUUCAAUUUUUGAUUCGAUUUCAAUUUUCGGCGGCGUAGACAUACAAUUAUUUUGCUCAUCACUUUCAUCAGUUACAGAUUGAUGUCCAGUUAUGUCAGAAACAGUUGUGUGGACGGAUGUAGCUGGUGAUACAAGAUGUUCCAGCUCAUUAUCUUUUUCAUCUUCUUUAAGUGGAAUUUCUUCUGUAAAAUUCUUUUUGGCUACUUGCAUAGAGUCAUUACAUAUCCCUUUAGAGAAGGGUUGAGAGGCGGUCAAGUCGUCGUCAUCUUCGUCUUCAUCAGAAAAAAUUGGCUUAACAGGUUUAAAGACUGCUGGCUUUGAUUUUUUUGGAGAUUUAUUUUUUCGCCUUGGAGCCGUAAGUAAAACGGGCUUCGUUGGACUUUGUGGUGCACGGGUGGGUUGUGAGUCUUUCUCCUCAGAGGUAUUAGUAUAAAGGGACAUUGUUAAAGGACGUGCAUUAAGAUUAUUCUUUCUACUAGGGGAGAAAUUUAAAGUUUUAUGAGAUUUUGUUGAAUCUCGGGUGGGAGAAACGGGAAGAAUGGAAUUAUCCUCGGUCAAGUCUUCAGGGUCAAUGUUCGACGUAGAUAAAAAAGACAGUUUAGUAGGAGAUAAGCUAUUUGGGUCUUUCCAUGUAAAAAACACACAGUCCGCACGACGGCGUUUGUGCUCGGUGUAAGGGUCAUCAUCCGGUUCCCAAUCAUGAAGAUUAAUAUCACAAUAUAAGCAAUGAGCUGCAUCUUUAGCAUCAGCAGUUGGAUUGUAUACAAAACCAGAAGCAGCCAUUACACUCGGCUCACAGUGAUAAUCAGGGCGAUUGGUAUACGGCCAUACUUUAUCAACAAAAGUUUGUUCUCGACAUUUUGUGAGAGCUGCAGCUUGGGGGUUCUGGUUUGGAUUGUUUUUUGAGGAUAAAAUAUAUGCCCAUGGACAGCUGGGGCUAUGAGUAAUAUGCUCUUUCAAUGGAUCAUCAUCAUCCUCCCAGUCAUAAAAUGACUUGGUACACAUAUAGCAUGUAACAUUAUCAAGUCUUUCUUCAGAAUUAGAUUCAGAGAUUGGAUUGUAAUAGAAACCGACAGUAGCAAGCUAUUUUCUUGUUAGCAACACAGAUGAAAACUCUAUCGUCAACAUACAGUUUCUGGCGUCGGUUUGGCUCGCGGCCAUUUUUUUUUCUGGAAAGUGUCAAGUCGUUUAGAGUAAUUACACAUUUCCCUUCGAAACCGAUUCCAUCGGCGUUUAGAAGAAGACGUUAUCGGUUUCAUUCUGAGCAAGCUUCAACAAGUGAAAUUUAGAUACCAAAUUUCGACUUCCGAUCCUUAAAACUAUAAAAUUAAUUUUUUUAAAACUUCUGGUUAUUGUCUUUAGACAAUAUCAGAUACUUCCAAAUGCAUAGGAUAGGGAAGGUCGCCUCGCAAGGCGUAUAUGGGUAAUGUUUACUUUUUGUAGAUUGCUAGGGCACACGAGUUUACUGUAAUUGAACAAUGUCGUUAUAUUGCGUAAAAUGUCGUUAAGUAGUAUAGCAGACUUUAAUAAAUGGAAGGUUCACUGGUUACAAAUUUUUCGAGAUGACUAGGUUUAGAUAUUAUAUUGAGUAAGGAAGAUUCAAUUAUUGUCUUUAAUGUCAGCCUUAUGAUCUUUGUUAAUAAAUUCAAAAUUUAACUAGAAGAUUUUUGCUAGCACAAAGUAAUGUAUCAUAGUUUGGUACUAAUAUUGUUACAUAUAAUAAUAUUAAAGCUCCAACUCUAAAGUAUGGAGCAUCGUGAAAGAAGAAUAAGGCUACAUUUUCAUGGCUAUUCAAAGGAAACUAUGCAUAUCAACAAGACAAAUCUGAUUUCAUUUUCCUCUUUCGAUGCGAUGGUCAAAGUUAUGAAUACAAUGAUGAAUCAGCUGUCUCAUUAGAAAAAAGUUGAAAAGAGGAUGACAAAUGCGGUGGAAAUAUUGAACUUCCUAAAACCUCAAAUAAAAGUUAAGCAAUAGAGGAAGUACAAUCAUGAAGACAAUGUAAAAUAAAUUAAUUGAAUUAGUCCCAUGUUGUUUCAAAGGUACAAAACCUGUAUCUAGUAGUGGAGCAGCCAAAAGCUACAACUAAAUCGACAACAAAGACCAAAACUGUUGAAUGAUUCCUGUGUUUCGUCAAUAAAACAAAUAAUAAACUCACAAAAUAACCACGAUCUAUAAACCAUUCGUUGGUUAGAAAGUGAAUGAAAAAAAGUAAACAAAAGUUCGUUUCGACACGCACACUCAGGACGGACUUGAGAAAUAAUUUAACAAGUACAAGAUGUUCAACUUUCCAGCACAAUCAUUAAACAACAAUAUAACAAAAUG
Molecule: non-coding RNA, 4105 nt
Organism: Schizosaccharomyces pombe (fission yeast)
Lineage: Eukaryota; Fungi; Ascomycota; Schizosaccharomycetes; Schizosaccharomycetales; Schizosaccharomycetaceae
Source: the annotation of a GenBank genome assembly